AUUGCAGCCUGCAACUCGGCUGCAUGAAGCUGGAAUCGCUAGUAAUCGCGGAUCAGAAUGCCGCGGUGAAUACGUUCCCGGGCCUUGUACACACCGCCCGUCACACCAUGAGAGUCGGGAACACCCGAAGUCCGUAGCCUAACUUUAACGAGGGGGCGCGGCCGAAGGUGGGUUCGAUAAUUGGGGUGAAGUCGUAACAAGGUAGC
Molecule: ribosomal RNA, 206 nt
Filed under: uncultured bacterium
Lineage: Bacteria
Description: partial 16S ribosomal RNA
Rfam family: Bacterial small subunit ribosomal RNA
Source: RNAcentral